UACACUUGAUGAUAUAAUUUGGUCCGUGUUUAUGAAAUUUUAUGAUUUCAUAUAAUCCAUUAUUUCUGAUGUC
Anopheles marshallii is the source of this 73-nucleotide small nucleolar RNA. RefSeq annotates it as small nucleolar RNA SNORD18. The transcript has a single exon. Lineage: Eukaryota; Metazoa; Arthropoda; Insecta; Diptera; Culicidae. The record is from RefSeq and is a predicted model, not a curated record.